UCCGGGUGGAGGGCCGGCUUCUGUUUCUUUUGUUUUAUAACCUCGCUGUAGUUUGACCCAGGCGCUGAACGUCUGUCUCUCCGGGGAGCACGAGCCUAUAACUUUGGCCCACACAAACCAAUUUGUCUGCCACAGGAAGCACUCAUUUCGCUCUCCUUGUGUAGAAGAGAGACAGCCUGACAAGGUGGGGCUGCGUCCCGGAUGGUCCUUGCCCUUCCCACCUGCUGACUCAAGAGUAUUUGCAUAGCUGGGAUUCUGAGGAAACACCCGAGUCCACCCAAGUCCACCGGCACAGACAUUCUGGGUAAUCUAUGCAAAGAUUCUGACGACUAUUGAGCAAAGGUGGAGCCUAGUGAGAGAACAUUAGAAAAACCUGGCUUCCAAGUGGAACCAAGAUUCUCAACUGCAAAGGCCCACAAGAGUCCACUGUCAUCAGUGACAGGGGAGCAGAGCAUGGUGUAUGUAUACCAGAAUUGAAAUAUCAGUCUUAUCAAUAGUAAACAUGGACCAGCAGACAUCUUCCUGACUUCUUCCCCUUUUCUUCCUCACAGUUGUUUUGAUCCACCCA
This is a long non-coding RNA of Phyllostomus discolor (pale spear-nosed bat), 568 nucleotides long. RefSeq lists it as uncharacterized. The record is from RefSeq and is a predicted model, not a curated record. NCBI's taxonomy places the organism in Eukaryota, Metazoa, Chordata, Mammalia, Chiroptera, Phyllostomidae. The transcript is spliced from 3 exons.